AACGUAGGAGACAAACGUUAUCCGGAGUUACUGGGCGUAAAGGGCGUGUAGGUGGUAGAGUAAGUCUGGCGUGAAAUUUUUCGGCUUAACCGGGAAAGGUCGUCGGAUACUGCUUAACUAGAGGACGGUAGAGGCGUGUGGAAUUCCGGGUGUAGUGGUGAAAUGCGUAGAGAUCCGGAGGAACACCAGUGGCGAAGGCAGGUCUCUGGGCCAUAACUGACGCUGAGAAGCGAAAGCAUGGGGAGCGAACAGG
This 253-nucleotide ribosomal RNA is filed under the name uncultured bacterium. RNAcentral's name for it is "partial 16S ribosomal RNA". It matches the Rfam family "Bacterial small subunit ribosomal RNA", at positions 524 to 776 of the family's 1533-position model. The record is from RNAcentral.